UGGGGAAUUUUGGACAAUGGGGGCAACCCUGAUCCAGCAACGCCGCGUGAAUGAAGAAGGCCUUCGGGUUGUAAAGUUCUUUUGUCUGGGAGCAAGAGUUGGGGGCUAAUAUCCCUUGAUGAUGAGAGUACCAGAAGAAUAAGCACCGGCUAACUACGUGCCAGCAGCCGCGGUAAUACGUAGGGUGCAAGCGUUAAUCGGAAUUACUGGGCGUAAAGCGUGCGCAGGCGGACAUUUAAGUUAGAAGUGAAAUCCCCGAGCUUAACUUGGGAACUGCUUUUAAGACUGGGUGUCUAGAGUAUGUUAGAGGGGGGUAGAAUUCCAAGUGUAGCAGUGAAAUGCGUAGAGAUUUGGAGGAAUACCGAUGGCGAAGGCAGCCCCCUGGGAUAAUACUGACGCU
RNAcentral lists this ribosomal RNA (400 nucleotides) under uncultured bacterium. RNAcentral's name for it is "bacterial SSU rRNA". It matches the Rfam family "Bacterial small subunit ribosomal RNA", at positions 355 to 747 of the family's 1533-position model. The record is from RNAcentral.